Molecule: long non-coding RNA, 2314 nt
Organism: Triticum aestivum (bread wheat)
Lineage: Eukaryota; Viridiplantae; Streptophyta; Magnoliopsida; Poales; Poaceae
Exons: 3
Source: RefSeq, a predicted model, not a curated record
CACCGCAGAGGAAAGUAACAAACUCCACGCCCCACGCAGGCAACCCCUGCAAUCACGCACGGCAACAGAAAAUAAAAGAAACUGCCCUUCAUCACCGAAACAACCUAGAGGAGGAGGAGGAUUCAUCGAUCUCGACCUCCGCGGCGAUGGAUUUCUCCGGCGGGGCCAGCGGGGACGGGGCGUAGUGAAGCUGUCGGAGAUGUAUUGGAGCGCACGGAGGCUGCUGCUCUCGGCCCACGUCGAGCGGCUCGCCUCGGUGCCGCUCGUCGGCGCGGCGGACCCGGCGGGAGCUGACGGGUGUGGAGGGAGGCGCGUGGCGUAGAUCCAGUGCGUGUGCGCGCUGAUGGACCGGCUCUAGCGCUCCAUCCCUAAGGGCCAGCCUGAUCUCUGGAUGAGGUUUGGUCCGGGCUUGGUUGAUGAUUCCCAGGGUUGCCGGUCUCGAUCUGUGCUGUCCAAUGAUUCUGUUAUUAGAGUUGAAGGCGUCUGUGAUUGCGGUGCAAGCCAGACCUAAGGGACGACCAACAGAACAUGCUUGAGAAGACGAUGGCACCCAUCAUGCAGUCGUUCCAUGGGAUCGUGACCUGCAUUGAGAUUUCUGUGCUCUGCGCUUCGCCAGACCGAGAUCAAAAAGACCCCCAUUGUAUCAAUUUACAUUGGUAACACUUUAUUAUGUCAAAUCGUUGAGUGUUCACAAUGACACUGGAAUGCUUAAAAUAUUCGCGUAGUUGCUCAGCCCCACGUAAUAUUCCAAGAGCGCAUAUUUUUUGUAUUUUUGAUUGUUCGUUAGAGUUCUAGAUACUAUGCUCGAGUAGAGUAGGUUUACUAUAACAGAUUGUUUAGGAACCACAGGUGCAGAAGGUCUUCUACCAUCUGCGGUGUGAGGGUUUUGAAGCAGAUAUUCAUUCUAUGCGACCACGACAGGGAUGGUAUGUAUUCUUUUUGUACUUGAGACUCUUAGAUUUCCAGUGGAGUUUUGGUUUCUCCCGCUGAGAUCGUACACUUGAUGUUUAUACUAUGCAUUCAAUCUAUUCCCACACCUAAGGUCUGUUAGUGUGGAAUCUUAUUUUCCUGUAGUGUGAUUACUAUAUGCACUUAUUUGCGUGUUUUCUCACUUUUAUUUGUAUAAUCGGCAUUCUGCAUAAGUAGGGCAGCAAGAUUCAGGUAUAUGAUUUGAGGUUCGUAGUGGAGAAGAGCUGUGAGAACCUGCAGUUGCUUUGUUUUAUUGGUAUGGACUAUGAACCGACCGCAUCUUUUCACUUCCCUUCCUAGCUCUUAGGUUACAUGUUAACUAUGAACUGAGAUAAGCAAAAUAUAUAGUCCUGACAUGAGGAGCCUCAUGUUUUAGACGGUCAUUUAAGCACAUUAUUAUCAACUAUUGAUUUUGUAAUAUUUAUUAGUAGUGCAUCACUAGAAUUAAUUUUUUUUGCUUAUUUUUACCUAUUAAGUAGGAUGAACAUGUAUUUUUCUUCUUAUAAAAACUAUAUGCAUUGCACGUGUACGCUAACUAUGGAUCAAUGUGUGAGAUGUGAAUGGACCAGAAAUAACUCUGUCUAUUCAGAAUUUGUGUAUUAGUUCACUGCGUCAUCAAUAGUUAUUAGUACAACAAACACCUGUAGGAAAAACUUGUAUUUAACCAAAUGUUAAUGGCCAUUUCGAAUCACUGGUUGUUUAAGAUUUACACUGCAUUUAUAUGAGUAAAAAAAAUGAUGUUGUUUUUUGUUUCAAUUUUGGGGUGAUGCAUCACACAUUUACGGCAGUUUUGGCAGAAGAGGGGAAGUGCAUACAUUUUUUGUUGUACAAUUGAUUUACUUGAUAAAAAAAGGGAGAGAAAUACUGCGUGGGUCAAGUCGGGGAUUCAUGGCAAGGGAUUGACAAUUUUUUAUCAGAAGCAGUUCGUUACACACUGAAGUGUGACAGAAAAGGUGUGCCACUGUUUCCACAUCUCCUUUUGCGACACUAAUGUUUUUCCCAAGUCUUUUCUUCCUUUUUGUAUUGACCCAGGAAUAGUUUCGGCAUUGGAGUCAGUUUCUUCGCUGUUUUCAUUUUUCUUAUCGGGAAGUGUGAAGCUAAAUUGUGGAAUUUUUCCCAAGUCCCAGGUUUGCAUAGGCCCUUAUUACUGGUGUGCGGGUAUGGGCACAUGAGGGGUGUGCUACUGAUAUUUUUAUGUGAGAUGUUUGUUUCUCAUUUUAGCGGUCAUUCAAGUGUGAGUUAUGUGUAUCCGCAACGUGUAAUUGAGUGCGGGAACUUUUAUUAUACCUUAUCAAGGCCAUUUACAGGUUUACAUAAGCAUUUGGUUAGCAGCCUCAUCUAUGAA